UUUUUUUUUUUUUUUUUUUUUUUUUGUCUUUUUGCCAUUUUCUAGGGCCACUCCUGCGGCAUACAGAGGCCCCCAGGCUAGGGGUCGAAUUGGAGUUGUAGCCACCAGCCUAAAGCAGAGCCACAGCAAUGCGGGAUCCGAGCCGCGUCUGCAACCUACACCCCAGCUCAUGGCAAUGCCGGAUCCAUAACCCACUGAGCAAGGGCAGGGAUCGAACCCGCAACCUCAUGGUUCCUAGUCGGAUUCGUUAACACUGAGCCAUGACGGGAACUCCCAGACUAGACUGUUUUUAAGGGCAGGGAAUGGAAAGAGGGCAGAGUUCAGUUAAAAUCAAAGCCAAACAGAGUCCAAGUUGGAAGUUUCCUGAGCAGACAAAACCAGCCCAGUCAUACAAGCAGAACUCAGUUCAGCUUAUUUUUCGAGACCAACCCCACCUGGGUCAAUUUCUCGAGGGUGCUUCUGGAAACCAUCAGCAGAACCUUCCAAAGCUGGCGAUAGAAGUCCAGCCCUUACCACUCCCUAUCAUUUAAGAAAAUUCCAAUGUUACCAAUAUAUAAAUAUUUGCUUAUCAAAUAUGAGUAGAGAAAUAAAUCAGGCCUUUCCUGAAAUCAGUCCCUUGGUCCUUCAGUUUUGUUUCCCUGAGGGCACGUGCUUGAGAUUUUCCAUUUUUUUAUCCUUUGGUUCCAUUCGCAGUUGAAAUUCUUUCCCAAGACAAAGCUGGUAGUAAACACUUUCUCCCAUGAACACAAGUUAGGCAAGUGUUGCCGUCGAGUCGUACUCUGCAACGCCUGCUCUCAGAGGGGGUGCUCUUGGUAUAGUCCCCAAUUCCAGAUGUGCAGACUAAACCAACCCUGAUGUCAGACGUUUAGACAUGAGUGUGUUUCUGGUGGUGGUAUCCUCUAGGGGGUCACAGUCCAUCAAAAAUAAAUUCUGAAAGGUUUUCACUUGGAGAAGAGAUGGGCCCAGAUUCUGUGCAAUGUGGGCCUUGAAGCCUGCUCCCUGACUGAGUGAGAUCCUAAAGGAAACCAUGGAACGUAGUCAGAAUAGUUCUUCCUUUUUUUUUUUUUUUUUUUUUUUUUUGUCUUUUUAGAGCCGCACCCACAAGCAUAGGGAAAUUCCCAGGCUAGGGGUCGAAUCAGAGCAACAGCUGCUGGUCUACACCACAGCCAUAGCAAUGUGGGAUCUGAGCCUCCUCUGUGACCUACACCACAGCUCACGGCAUCAUGGAUCCUUAACCCACUGAGCAAGGCCAGUUAUCGAACCUGCAUCCUCAUGGAUACUAUUCAGCAUCAUUACCACUGAGCCACAGUGGAAACUCCUAUUAAACCUAUCUUGAUCUCCAGGUAGUGUUGUGGCUGAGAAAAGCGGCUUCAGGGCCCAGAUACCACCCCAGUAUCCUGCCCUCCCCAGACAUACACAUGGACACAGACACACAUACACACAUAGGCACACAGACACACACGUUGAUACUGACACCGGACAUGUUGCCUGUUGGCCAUUUGUAUAUCUUCUUUGGAAAAAUGUUUGCUUUUGUUCUUUGCCCAUUUUCUGGUCAGUUCCUUCAAGGCUUCAUGAGUCAGCAUCUUUGCAAGGCCCUGGAGCACCCUGCACUUUCGUCCUGGAGUCAUUACCCCUGGUGGUUCCUUCACCGCCCCGGUGGUCAGGGAAAACCAGGGAAACCUUACAUUCUUUCCACCUGGGCUGUCCUGGCACACAUCGCCCGCUUGGGCUGGAUUUGGUCCAUUUCCCAUGGGCAGAGGGGCAGGUGUUUCUGAGGCUCUUUAUUGGAUGUUCUGUGAGCCCCUCCCUUUCCUCUGCUGCUCUCUCUGCUCUUUCUCUUUGCCAAACCCUCGAGUUGAAGUUGCCUGUGUUUUAAUGGCCUUUGAUGAGGCUCCACUGCACAGAGAAAGUGUUGCCCUGCUCCUUGGACUAAAAAUGGUGGUGCCCCUGGAGGUUGUUUCUUCUGCCCACGGGUAAGACUGGGCAGGGGUCUCAGAUCCAAAUGCCUGCAGGGUUCAGGUGGGCCAUAGAAAUGCCAAAUGCAUGCUUGACCUAAAACCUUUCAAAUCAAGGGAAGAUUUAUUUGUGAUGGUUUCAUUGACCAAAGGACCUGGUGAAAGCUGCCAGUCCCAACCUCACUGGCCCCGCUAAAAGGGCACCCUGGGGCAUAGCCUGUCUGUCUGGAAGCCAAGACCUCACUGCUCAGGGUGGCCUGCUCAGGGUGGCCCACACACCAGCAGCUUCGCAUUGCCUGGGAGCUGUUAGGAAUGCAAAAUCCUAGGCCCCACCCCAUGGAGUUAGAAUCUGCACUUAACCAUCUCUUUGGGUGGUUUGUGUGCUCAUUAAAGUGUGAGAGGGCUGGUCCAAAGGGAUUACCUCAGAGUAGACACUCAUGGCUCCUGGCUGCUGCCCAGAGAAUGGAAACUUGGGUUCACACAAAAGCCUGUCUAAAAAUGUUUUUAGCAGCUUUAUUUGAAAUAGCCCCAAACUGAAAAUAAUGUAGAUGUCCUCCAGUGAAUGAAUGGAUAAACCAACUGUGAUCCAUCCAUAUCAUGAAAUACUGUUUUGCAAAAAAUAAGAAAUAAUUAUCUCUACAGAUGCCAAAUUAGAUGACUCUCAAAGGCAUUUGGUUGAAUGAAUGGAGCAGUUUCAAAAAGUUAUGUAGG
RNAcentral lists this long non-coding RNA (2666 nucleotides) under Sus scrofa (pig). Its description in RNAcentral is "lncRNA (ENSSSCG00050027737.1)". The record is from RNAcentral. Lineage: Eukaryota; Metazoa; Chordata; Mammalia; Artiodactyla; Suidae.